Long non-coding RNA from Dermacentor albipictus, 955 nucleotides. RefSeq lists it as uncharacterized. Lineage: Eukaryota; Metazoa; Arthropoda; Arachnida; Ixodida; Ixodidae. The record is from RefSeq and is a predicted model, not a curated record.
GGAGCGUCGACCAACGUGCUGAUCUUUGCUGCUUACUUCUAGGAACGACCUUCCCUGUCCUACAGUCGUCUGGAAUGACUCCUGAAGAAAGAGACUGUGAAAAAAUUAUAGGCAGAAGCUGCAGCGCCGCCUCCUUCCACGGAGGCUUCUUUUCUGCACUGCCGAUGCGGGCUGCUCAGGGCGGCGCUCUCCCGCGGCGGUUGGUGGAGCCCCAAUGGCUGCCCUGGCCAGCUUUUUUUUUUUUUUUCGCCGAUGCUGGCGCAGGGAGCGGGGUUCAUUGUUGGCCAAGGCGCGGCAGCCAGCGCGAGGCGGGUUAUUGUUGGGGCUGAAAUCGGAGCGAGUUUAUUCGGGCACAAUAGAAUCGCAGCCUGUGUGCAACUUGUUGCGCGUCGCUGUAACUCCGGUUACACUCGGCAUUAUGAAGCGCUGCGCCUGUUGACAACAAAUGCUUCGAGUAGCGAGACACGCUCCUGGAUGGCCCGUGUCUUGUGGCUACUUCUGUGCAGCGCUGAUAACGCAGAUGAUUUCCGUGUGCAGUUGGCACCUGCAAGAGCUCGUCCAAAGCAGCGCACUUGUGCUAGCGUUAGUUUCUAUAUUUCAAUCGGUAUCUUGUACACAAUAGGCAAAAUCAGUAUCUCGUCAAAAGUGCGCUUUUAUUUACAAAGUUCUGUCUGCGCAAUGACACCUUCCCGACGCAAGAAAGUAGACCACUUUCAGCGUGAAGAAAGUCACAACAGUAACACUGUAUUUGGAUUUGAAGAAAUUUAAUGACUUAUGCUCAAUUUUGUGAUUUAGGGAUUUUGGUCAAAUUUUUAAAUUAUUUGCCUUACCACAUGGACUUCUUGCACCUCUGCAGCACUGUCCACAGGUUCCUUGCCUUCACUAAGAAAAUCAAAGCACUGGUGCAGCUCAGAGUAGAGGCUACUUACGUGGACACGCACAGCCGUUUUGCCAA